This is a long non-coding RNA of Oncorhynchus nerka (sockeye salmon), 5644 nucleotides long. RefSeq lists it as uncharacterized. NCBI's taxonomy places the organism in Eukaryota, Metazoa, Chordata, Actinopteri, Salmoniformes, Salmonidae. The transcript has 3 exons. The record is from RefSeq and is a predicted model, not a curated record.
UGCCCUAUGGUCCCUGGGGAACAGAGUGGAUGGAGAGAAGUCAUCAAUGCCCUAUGGUCCCUGGGGAACAGAGUGGAUGGAGAGAAGUCAUCAAUGCCCUAUGGUCCCUGGGGAACGAUGGGCCUUCAGUUCAAACCACUUUAGACAUGGGCUGCAGCUCCCCAUCUUUCCUGGUCUGGGAGGUGAGUUUAUUUUCUUCACCUUGUGUUGAGGUUCAAAGUUAAGUUAAAUCCUUUUGUGCACUCUGGUAGAAAGGGAUGGUUCCGUCAGGCUGACACGCUCUCUGAACUCACUCUGGGCAUGGCUACUUACUAUACAAAGUUUAUAGGAGACAAAUGAUCUCAUGGCUCUUAAAAUCACAUUCCUAUCUUAACAAAAAUACUUAUCAUUUUUCAUAUUUAAUAUACAACAUAGAGGAUGGAGACUUCGUACAUGUAGUGGGUAUACUUUUCAAGUUACAGUAUUUCCUUUAUAACCUUUUUAAUGACAUCACAAACAAAACAAUAUGAAGUUAUUAUUCUUUAGAUCACCUCUGACCAUUCCCCACAUUCUUAUGGUAGGAAUAUUGUUCCAGUAUUCACUUUUUAAACAUGUUAGUUUCAGCAGGAAAGGUAUGUUAACAAAGAACAUUCCUUUGGUUAAUACUGGAGAGGGAGACCCUAAAUCUUUCACCUUGAUUUAUAACAGGGUGUGAGCUGUCAACCCAAAAUCAGCUCCCUUCUCCCCCAUCUGUGUGUGAGAGAGGGUCUGGUUACUGUCAUCCAUUGCCAAGCUGAUCUGACCCAUUCUGAUCCUCACAGGACAGUCAUGACAGUAGAGACAUCUGAUCACAUUUUUUACAGUCCAACUGCUCAACAUAAUCACACUAUUGGUAGAAUUAGUGUAAAAUACAGUAUAAUAAUAAACUUUUUAAAGUUAAAUUCGGCACUCCAUUUUUAUGAAAUACCAUCAGAACAUUUAAACAGAAAAAACUGCUUCAUUGUUCUGCUGUUUGAGCAGACCAUGAACUUGACAGAUCUGCCAUAAUGAAUGUCUUUGAUGUGCUAAAUAAAGAGAAUGGCUUAAUUACUAUUUCGCCACACUCACAUAAAACUGAUUUUAAUCACUUGUUGCUCUUAGAAGUACAGUAUUCAAUGCAAUUCAUUUUGGUUUUAUCUCUGUAAUUAAAUGUAUAUCAUUUAUGAACAGCCUAAAACAAAUGUUGUUUUAUUUUGAAAAUAUAAAAAAUAUAUUAUACCUGAGUAUCGCUGACUGCAGUAAUCUGUCAAUCCGAGGGUGUUUCUUCCGUGUUGUACAUAUAUCCUGCUAAUUAAUGUUGCAACAAGGGAUCUCUCCAGCUCACUCCUGGGGGGGAUGCAGGCUAAAGGCGGCCACAUAACAUCAGGGGGGCUGAGUGUAACCUCUGGCGGCAGGGAGAGAUUCAGAUGCUCAACCGUGAGUCAGAGUUAUAUCAUUAACACCAGACAGGGGAAGGUUACAGGGUCCAUGAUGAGCUAUUGGAACAGACUGUAACUUUCAUAUUGAUUUUAUGAUAUCCUCUGAUUGAUCCUUAGCGUUAUCACACCUCUGUGGCUGAAACUCUGAAGAGAAAAGCCAACCAGACACACACAGUUCCUGCAUAAUGGAGACCUGACUCCUAUGCCUCCUUAUUGCACAAUCCCACUUCUGACACCAACCUCCUUCAGAGUCAGGUGGGAUGGUGACUAGCUGCAUUAUGCUAGAAAACGUCAUUCACUUAACUGAAAAAGUCAAUUAGGUAUGUGUGAUUCCCAUUUCCCAGUUUGGAACCAGGACCAGGGGCUCUGCACUGGGGCCCACCAUCACCUUUGACCCCUGACCCUGUGUGUGUCUGUUAGUGUGUGUAUCCAAUUUAUGUUGUGUUCAAUUUCUAUAGUUUCCAAUAUCCGGUGUAUGUCGGUACCGGUUUCUGUUGUGACAAAUUAUUAUAAUGUAGUAUUGUACUGUACUGUAGACUCUGCCAACAGCUGUUGCUGUGAUUGAUAUCUCCCUGUACAAGGCCUGAGGCUCUAACAUCCAUGUAACAUGAGACUAUUUAUAGAGACCCUCAACAGACCCAUGUGUAACACAAAGCCUACACACACACACACCAUCCAUAUUGUCUGCAAUAUGUGCUCUCUCUCUCUCUAUGCGGGUUCAAGGCCAGUUCCCAUGGGAGAUGAGAAGGAUAAUGAUAAUCCAGGACACUGAUAGAGGAAGUGCAGAUGGAGGAGAGAAAUCAACCAGAAGUUCAGGUAUCUGAGGUCACAGGGGAAAUAAGCUGAUUGGUGGUAUUAGGAAGUUGAGAGUACUGUAUAUUGGCAGCCAGGCCUCUGCCACUGCCCCACGUCAGAGGUACUGGGCCAUGCGUCAUACGGUGACACCAUGUUGCGCAUGAGAGUCCCUGGGAUAUGCAGGGAAGCGGGUAGAGAGAGAGGGGAAGGGGGAGGGACAGUCUGUGUUGGGUGGCAUGCUACUCUCAAGAGGCACUUGGAGUUGGCCAGACAGACAAGGUAUUGUCUAGAAGGGAUACAGCUUUUGUAAAAAUUGACUUUUUGCAGCAGGUUUAAAAUAAUUUAUGCAGCAGGUUAGGAGAUUUGACGUAGCUAAGAUUAGGAAAAGGUUUCGGUUUAGCGAAAAUGCAAAACAAAUCUAAUUUUCACGUCAAAUUUGACAAAAGCUGCAUCCCAUCUAGACAUGACUGACAGACAGGCCUUAGUUGUGCAGUGAAAGGUAGCUAAUUAUAACUAGCUAUGCAAUGCAGUCUGACCUCAUUGUUUAUGUUGGUAUGACUAAUGCUGUUGUCGAAACACGUCCUAUUGAUUUUUUUAACCCGGAAAAUGUUGAGAGUAGUUCUAUACUGGAGUUAUUCACUGAUCUCAUUGAUUAUGACUCAGAGGGUGAGGGGAGCAGCUGUGGUUAGGGGAUCUAUAACAGUCCAUCUUAUAUUCAACACACUCUCCACUAAGAUAAAUGCUUAUGGAGAAUCAGUCAUUAGUUCUUUCUCAUUGCAGCAUGAGCAUGAUCUCCUAUUAAGGCUAUCGAUUCUACCUUUAGAAAGAUAUGUAUUUUCUAAAUCUUUGGGAUAGGAUUUCAGUGACAAGCCAGAGUGUAAAAGCUAGGAGUUUUAACUGAGUGCAACUGAGUCCUUUUUGAGCAGAGAACCGAGUCCGAUUUCCGCCAGCCACUAUGUGAUCUACAGAUGGAUUGAUCUCAUAGCAACCACAUCGCCAUGGCAACCUGGGAUACAGAUGCCACGCUGAGAGUCUGACGCACUGAGGGACUGGCAGGAACAACACUUAUAGCCUCCUCUCGUGUCCAUGUGUCUGCCACCCAGGCUUUCAUCUAAGUCUCCCCGGAGGAAAGGAGUGUUUGAUCAAAUUAAAUAUUAUCAUAAAAGGUCAUCAGAUUAUUGAGUGAAAUGUCAUCCCAGCAGAACACUGCUCUUCUCUCUCUCUCCUCCAUUGUGUGUGUGUACGUGUGUGUGUGUGUGUGUGUGUACAUACUGUUUGACUGAUACGUUCGAGUCCCAUACAGUACAUGUCUUUGUGUCACAAGUGGGGUGGAGGAGCAUGUGUCUUGUGUACUGCUGUUCUGUAACAUGUACACAAGUUUUACCAUUUGAAUGUUUUCAACCAGGUAGAUAUGUAAAACAGUGGCCAUAUAUAUUUAAAGGAAGAUGCAUGUAAUUUGUAAACACUAACCGAAGCCCCAGUUUCCCCUGCUCUACCUAACAACAACCCAUCCCUCUCAUUUCAGCAGACCUUCACUGUGCGUGACUUAAAGCGUGUCCGUUUCACGAGAUUCAAUUUGUGCCAGAUAGGACAAGCAGUGUUCAGACCACUCACGUAAUGUUCUGACCACUCGUGUAACGUCAGUGUAACCUCACAGUGGUCCGCAUAGGGCCGCUGAAUGAAACAUUUAGAGUGGCACACACACAGAGAGAUUAGACUGUUGUUAUGGUGUUCUGAUUCCAUCCUACUCUGGGACAUGUGUUGCUGCUGUGGUUCUGGAAAAUUGAUUGUUUGUCCGUCCCCUCAAACAGGGCCAGCUCUUCAGAGGCCCCUUGUCAUUACAUUUACAUGUUUCACUUGAUUCUGUAGUGAAAACAUUUUUCUUGUAUCAGUUUGUUGGUUUGGCUUCAGUUGAUUGGUGUACAUUCCUGCACAGAUGGCCCGUGCACACAGUCCCGUGCACACUGUCCUGGAGUGCUCUGAGAUGUCCCAGAUCUGUGAGCAUCACUCUGCUAUGACUCCAGUCACCUGAUGUUCAGCCUCUGGUUCUGUUCUACCCACAGAUAGUGAUGCUGUCACUGCCUCUGGUGGGUCAGGGUGGGGGAGAGGAGAGGUCUAUAAGCUCAUCAGACUAAACUACAUAUUUUACAUCCCCUACCUCUCCAAAUGACAAUGAUUUGCGCAUACAGAGCACUGUUCCUCAAACUCAAACGACGUUAUAUCGAAUUAAAUCUUCCCCCAACAGAAUGCUCUUUUUCAACAGAAUGCUCUCCACUGAUUAGCUGAGUGAGUGGCAUGGGCGGGGGGUUUGGAGUGUUGAAGGGAGUUGAUUUGAGUUCACCCUCUCAGCUGAGACCAUGGGAAUGUGGUUUUCUAGAAACUCAGAGACCGAUACUAAUGGAGCCACUGUUCAGCAGGAGGAGCUGUGACAAAGAGUUUAAAUACAUUUUAUGACUUCAAUUAUCUUAUUUAGAUGUGUUGUGAUGAUGAUUCUUCUGGAAUAGCUACAAAGGGGUCAAAGUAGAAAGCGAGAAGCGUAAAUAUGAGCAGAAACAUUUGACUGGUCAGCAGACGGAGACCGACAGACGUCAGUCACGGUUCAUUCAGUUUAUCAGUGGAUUCAGUGGUUUAUCAAUGAUUCUGUGGAAAACCCCUUAAUCUAAGCUAAGUAAUGUUCAGCAAGUGAGUUGACACGUUUACCAAAAACAAUGGUGUAACCUUUUUGAUGCUAUGUGAGGGUGAAAUAGCACACUUAUUAUGGGGUCAUCACGAGCUACAUGAAACUGCAACUACAACUCAAACACAUAAUUGAAAACGUUUGAAGGUGGCUGGCUGGUGGGUAUAGUAGGUCAGCCAUGUUCUCCAUGGCACUAGAGAAGAAGAGUGAACCCAUCACAGCCAGAUACUCUGCUCAGAGCUCAUUAAAGGUAUGCAGACUACUGGGAUUCCUCCUUGUGAUAACUGUCCUUUCUAGUCUCUGGUCUGCUGUAAUACUCUGGUCUGCUGUAAUACUCUGGUCUGCUGUAAUACUCUGGUCUACUGUGUAGUAAGGAGCAAAUGUAAUAGUUUCUAUCAAAUUAAUAAUUUAAAUUAAAUGUCCCCCUCUCUCAAUAGAUGUUCAAAUCAAUGAAUCGCUUUUUAAUAUCAUGAUAUGUAAUCAUAGCUUUCUUUUUUAUUUUGAUAUUAUUCAGCUUUUUGAAGAACCUGCAAAAGUACUGAAUGAUUGAUAAAGGAAUAAACAACCAACGUACUGCUAUUGCUUUGGUGUUUUAACUGAAUGUUUUAAAUGAUCUAAGUAAUUCAUUAAAUCAAUCAAUAAAUCACUAAAUGAAUGAAUCAACCAGAGACAGUGGAGUUCACCGGGGUCAGAGAGGGUAUUGUAUGUCUAUAAUUCACUUCAAUAAAAUGGACCU